GUCUUUGCAGUAAUGCAAGGCAUACGGCUCAGUAACACGUAGUCAACUUACCCUAUGGACGAGGAUAAUCUCGGGAAACUGAGCAUAAUACUCGAUAGAUCAUAAUGCCUGGAAUGGUUUAUGGUUAAAAUGAUUCGUCGCCAUAGGAUGGGACUGCGGCCUAUCAGCUUGUCGGUGAGGUAAUGGCCCACCAAGGCGAUUACAGGUACGGGCUCUGAGAGGAGAAGCCCGGAGAUGGGUACUGAGACACGGACCCAGGCCCUAUGGGGCGCAGCAGGCGAGAAAACUUUGCAAUGUGCGAAAGCACGACAAGGUUAAUCCGAGUGAUUUCUGCUAAAGAAAUCUUUUGCCAAUCAUAAAACCACUGGUGAAUAAGGGGUGGGCAAGUUCUGGUGUCAGCCGCCGCGGUAAAACCAGCACCUCAAGUGGUCAGGAUGAUUAUUGGGCCUAAAGCAUCCGUAGCCGGCUUUGUAAGUUUUCGGUUAAAUCCAUGUGCUCAACGCAUGGGCUGCCGAAAAUACUGCAUGGCUAGGGAGUGGGAGAGGUAGACGGUACUCAGUAGGAAGGGGUAAAAUCCUUUGAUCUAUUGAUGACCACCUGUGGCGAAGGCGGUCUACCAGAACACGUUCGACGGUGAGGGAUGAAAGCUGGGGGAGCAAACCGGAUUAGAUACCCGGGUAGUCCCAGCUGUAAACGAUGCAGACUCGAUGAUGCAUUGGCAUAAUA
This 726-nucleotide ribosomal RNA is filed under the name uncultured archaeon. RNAcentral's name for it is "bacterial SSU rRNA". It matches the Rfam family "Archaeal small subunit ribosomal RNA", at positions 57 to 789 of the family's 1478-position model. The record is from RNAcentral.